CAGCCGCCACGGGAAUACGUAGGGUGCGAGCGCUAAUCGGAAUUACUGGGCGUAAAGCGUGCGCAGGCGGUUUUGUAAGACAGGCGUGAAAUCCCCGGGCUCAACCUGGGCAUGGCGCUUGUGACUGCAAAGCUAGAGUGCGGCAGAGGGGGAUGGAAUUCCGCGUGUAGCAGUGAAAUGCGUAGAUGUGCGGAGGAACACCGAUGGCGAAGGCAAUCCCCUGGGCCUGCACUGACGCUCAUGCACGAAAGCGUGGGGAGCAAACAGGAUUAGAUACCCCCGUAGUCCCUGUCUCUUAUAC
Molecule: ribosomal RNA, 301 nt
Filed under: uncultured bacterium
Lineage: Bacteria
Description: partial 16S ribosomal RNA
Rfam family: Bacterial small subunit ribosomal RNA
Source: RNAcentral